RNAcentral lists this ribosomal RNA (301 nucleotides) under uncultured bacterium. RNAcentral's name for it is "partial 16S ribosomal RNA". It matches the Rfam family "Bacterial small subunit ribosomal RNA", at positions 509 to 807 of the family's 1533-position model. The record is from RNAcentral.
CAGUAGCCGCGGUAAUACGUAGGGUGCGAGCGUUAAUCGGAAUUACUGGGCGUAAAGCGUGCGCAGGCGGUUCGUUAAGACAGAUGUGAAAUCCCCGGGCUUAACCUGGGAACUGCAUUUGUGACUGCAUGGCUAGAGUGCGGCAGAGGGGGAUGGAAUUCCGCGUGUAGCAGUGAAAUGCGUAGAUAUGCGGAGGAACACCGAUGGCGAAGGCAAUCCCCUGGGCCUGCACUGACGCUCAUGCACGAAAGCGUGGGGAGCAAACAGGAUUAGAUACCCCCGUAGUCCCUGUCUCUUAUAC